CAAGUCGAACGCGAAAGGGGGGGCAACUCCCCGAGUAGAGUGGCGAACGGGUGAGUAAUACAUCGGAACGUGUCCAGUAGCGGGGGAUAACCUCUCGAAAGAGAGGCUAAUACCGCAUACGACCUACGGGUGAAAGAGGGGGAUCGCAAGACCUCUCACUAUUGGAGCGGCCGAUGUCGGAUUAGCUAGUUGGCGGGGUAAAAGCCCACCAAGGCGACGAUCCGUAGCUGGUCUGAGAGGACGGCCAGCCACACUGGAACUGAGACACGGUCCAGACUCCUACGGGAGGCAGCAGUGGGGAAUUUUGGACAAUGGGCGCAAGCCUGAUCCAGCCAUGCCGCGUGAGUGAAGAAGGCCUUCGGGUUGUAAAGCUCUUUCGGCGGGGACGAAAAGGUCCGUGUUAACACCAUGGAUCCAUGACGGUACCCGCAGAAGAAGCACCGGCUAACUACGUGCCAGCAGCCGCGGUAAUACGUAGGGUGCAGGCGUUAAUCGGAAUUACUGGGCGUAAAGCGUGCGCAGGCGGUUUGCUAAGACAGGUGUGAAAUCCCCGGGCUUAACCUGGGAACUGCGCUUGUAACUGGCAAGCUAGAGUGUGGCAGAGGGGGGUGGAAUUCCACGUGUAGCAGUGAAAUGCGUAGAGAUGUGGAGGAACACCGAUGGCGAAGGCAGCCCCCUGGGCUAACACUGACGCUCAUGCACGAAAGCGUGGGGAGCAAACAGGAUUAGAUACCCUGAUAGUCCACGCCCUAAACUAUGUCAACUGGUUGUCGGGGAAGCAAUUCCUUGGUAACGAAGCUAACGCGUGAAGUUGACCGCCUGGGGAGUACGGCC
Molecule: ribosomal RNA, 834 nt
Filed under: uncultured beta proteobacterium
Lineage: Bacteria; Pseudomonadati; Pseudomonadota; Betaproteobacteria
Description: bacterial SSU rRNA
Rfam family: Bacterial small subunit ribosomal RNA
Source: RNAcentral